UGCCAGCAGCCGCGGUAAUACGGAGGGAGCGAGCGUUAAUCGGAAUUACUGGGCGUAAAGCGCGCGUAGGCGGCUUUGUCAGUCGGAUGUGAAAGCCCUGGGCUUAACCUGGGAAUGGCAUUCGAUACUGCAUGGCUAGAGUAUGGUAGAGGGAAGUGGAAUUUCCGGUGUAGCGGUGAAAUGCGUAGAUAUCGGAAGGAACACCAGUGGCGAAGGCGACUUCCUGGGCCAAUACUGACGCUCAUGGUCGAAAGCAUGGGGAGCAAACAGGAUUAGAUA
Molecule: ribosomal RNA, 279 nt
Filed under: uncultured bacterium
Lineage: Bacteria
Description: partial 16S ribosomal RNA
Rfam family: Bacterial small subunit ribosomal RNA
Source: RNAcentral